This is a long non-coding RNA of Phascolarctos cinereus (koala), 1742 nucleotides long. RefSeq lists it as uncharacterized. NCBI's taxonomy places the organism in Eukaryota, Metazoa, Chordata, Mammalia, Diprotodontia, Phascolarctidae. The record is from RefSeq and is a predicted model, not a curated record.
AGGUAGGAGGUGGUUGGAUGGCAUCCAGCUGCAGCGCCCGAUGAAUGGCCAGCCUGGAAUGCUUAUGCCUCCUCAUUGGUUCAUAGCCUCCCUGCUUCAUAAUUUCCUGAGCCCUAGCAUAUUCUGGUUGAAAAACUGAAGGUGGGGAUGCAAGGCCAUUGGUGUGAUGGGUGGCUAGGAUAUGGAAGAGGACCUUGGUGAACCCCAGGGAACCAGAAUUCCUUUCUGCCUGCCUCUGCUUAGCUGACCUCUGGCCUUCAUCUUGUUUUUAAAGACUAGCCACCCAUUCCAGCUGCCCAGAGGGAGACUUGUCCAUUAGCCAGGAGCUGCGCCUGAUAAAGAAUGCGACCAAGGAUUCAUACAGACUUUACAAUUACCUCUUCGUGAAGCACGUGUGAGGAUGAACUCAGAAUCUCAAGUGUGGGAAAGGGCCUCAGAGGCUAUUUAAGCAAAUCUGUACCUGAGCAAGGAUACCUCCUGCAGUAUUUCUAAUAAGCAGUCUUACACUCUUUGCUUUAAAACCCCUAGUUAGUGGAAAUGUCACUACCUCCUGAGGAAGCCCUUGCACUUUAAUCUCUAAUUGUUGAAAUAUUUACCUUCUUCCAAGCCCAGAUCUUUUGCCCAUUGCUCAUAGUUUUGUUUUCUGAAGCCAAAUAGGAUAAAUCUGUGUGCCAGGGCUUCCAAAGCUUGAAGUCAGCCAUCAUGUAUUUCCUGCCUGUCUUCCACUUCCCAAACAUUGGGCCUGAAUCUUCUUUGCUCCAGGCUAAACAUCCCUAGUUCUUCAGCCUAUCGACAUUUGGCACUUUUCUUCAAUGUAAUCUCUAUCCUGCUUCUCUUUCUCUAGAUACUUUUCCACUUAUCAGUAUCUUUCCUAAAAUUUCAUACCCAGAACUGAACACAGUAUACCAGAUGUGAUCUGACCAGAGUAAAGUCUAGUGGUACUGUUACCUUCCUCAUCCUAGAUAUCAUACUUGUCAAACAGCCUAGAGUAGCAUUAGCUUUUUUUUACUUACCAAAUCACACUGUUGAUUUAAUCAGCUUUCAAUUUUCUGACACCCCAGAUCUUUUUUGGAUGUAAUUCUACACUGUAGUACCUCUCCCAACUUGUAUUUGUGAAGUCUUGAUCCUAAGGGCAAGAUUGUAUAUUAAUCCAUUAAUCCCAAUUAUGUUUCAUUGUAUUAUCCAGUGCUCUAGCUUGUUGAGACCUUCUUGAGUGCUGACUCUUGUCAUCCAACCUGUCAGUGCUCUGUUUGAGCUUUGUGGAAUAUGUCUCACUUUCCUAUUUGUCUCUGAUACAUAGUGGGUACUUAGUAAAAGCAUUUGAUAAAGAUGAUUAAUAUAUUGAUAAAAAUGUUAAACAGCAUAGGACGAGCAACAGAGCCUUAGUAUACUCCCCUAGAAGUCUCCCUUCAGGUUGACUUUAGUCAUAAAUUGCUCACUAUUCUUUGGAUCUAGUCAUAGAAUCAGUUCUGAAUUUGCCUAACUAUUGUCAUCCUGCCUGCAUUUCUCUGUCUUAUCCUCAAAUAUAAGUUGAAGGACACUGUCAAACACUUUGCUGAAAUCUAGUUUAAAAAUAUUUAUGGCAUGUCCUUGAUAUAUAACUUUGUCAAAAAAGGAAGGACUUUAGUCUAACAUGACCUAUUCUUAAUGAACAUAUGCUUGCUCUUUGUAAUCACCAUUUCCUUUUCUAGAUGCUUACUAACUGUACUUUUAAUAAAGCAGCUCUUAAGUGUGGCCAAGAA